Molecule: long non-coding RNA, 352 nt
Filed under: Bos taurus (domestic cattle)
Lineage: Eukaryota; Metazoa; Chordata; Mammalia; Artiodactyla; Bovidae
Description: long non-coding RNA NONBTAT015502
Source: RNAcentral
UUUUUGCUUCUCUUCAGAAAUUGAUUAAGUAAGGAAACCCAUUCAAUAUGGUUGUUAGAACUGAGAACUACCAAAAUCAGGCCCAUUCCUGGCAGCAGGCAAGGGUGGCAAACGGGACGGUCUAAAAUGCCGAGACGAACUGAGGGAGGGGCGUUUCCACUGUGGGCCGGACAGAGGGCUGCUCUGCUCAGAGCGUGGAAGUGGGCAGUGCUCCCUGCUCACGCCUAUCGAUCCGGGAGCUGAAGUUUUCUUUUAGACACAUAAUCAAGACCACGUGUUAGGGAAACAGGAAAAAUGAAAUUUUUGGCAAGGUUAGAUAAAAUAUCUAGUGCUGCAACUGUGCGAUAAACAC